This 689-nucleotide long non-coding RNA is filed under the name Rhinopithecus bieti (black snub-nosed monkey). RNAcentral describes it as "lncRNA (ENSRBIG00000046391.1)". The record is from RNAcentral. Lineage: Eukaryota; Metazoa; Chordata; Mammalia; Primates; Cercopithecidae.
AGCUCACUACAGGUGACCUCCAGACACUCUUGACUUCAUCUUCUUACCUUCCCCUUGAGGCUGAAUCUCUAUGUCAGAGAUCAUGAAGAUUGGGGUUGGAAAUUGCUUGUCCCUGCUUGUCCACGUGCUUGGUCACAGAACUGUCCUGGGAAAUACCCUGAUGAAUUAUUUCAAAGGCACCCAAAGUGUCCUAACUUGAUGGUAGCAGGGGAAAAUCAAGGAUCAUCUCAGUGUGACUGAAUGAAAAGCAGUAUCUGGAUCUUCAUAAAUGAUGGAAUUGAUUUGCCACACCAAUUGGUAAAGGCCUGAAGCCAUGGUUAACAGGGUUAUUUUGCUGAAAACUUGAAUCAAGAAGCACUGAAAGGGCAAGAGUCCCGACGGCCCUCGAGGCAGAUGAUUGAUUCCUGGGGCUAUGUUGGAAAGUUUGGCAGAGAAGAGACUGAACUAUGCUGUUGGGAAAUCACUUUCACUGCAGUCUGGAAAAUGGAGGGCAGGAGAGGCUACAGCCCUGGGGAAGGGGUGGUGAUGAGUCAGCUAUGAACCAGCCUCUCUGCCGUGCACCGGGAAUGUGCCAGGAGCCACUGUGCUUGAUAUUGUGGGACCUCUUAGUCACUUUUGCUACUCCUGGGAGGAUGACGGUCUUCUGUUGGGAACUGCCUUUGCUGAAUUACCGGAGCCCCAUAGGUGCU